RNAcentral lists this long non-coding RNA (5801 nucleotides) under Sus scrofa (pig). RNAcentral describes it as "lncRNA (ENSSSCG00060012180.1)". Lineage: Eukaryota; Metazoa; Chordata; Mammalia; Artiodactyla; Suidae. The record is from RNAcentral.
GCAGAAGGGUUAAUAAUAUCAGCCUCCAUGUCCCAGUGCCUAGAAUCUGUUCAGAAUAGUUACUAAAUACUGAAUGCAAAGCCUAGUAAAUAUUUUCACUCUGUGAAAACGUAUACUUCCUCGUGAAUGAAAUAAUUAUUAUUAUUAUGGACCAAUAGAUAUUAUUGAUAGAUUUGCUUGUUGUUUGAUUCCUGAGUGUUGAUAAAGUUUCCUUAAUCUCAUUAUAAGCCUUAGGUAGGGGAAAAUGAAGCCCUAAAUAAAAGAGAUUAUAAGAGAGCUUCUGGCUCCUUUAAAUGACUUUAAGCCCUUGGUAUGGGUGAUUUACGGUCUAACCUACUGAAAGAACUUGAAAAUCAUAUUUAUAGACCAUUACUGGCCAUUUUUAAGGAUUUGUGGGGGAAAUGAUCAUUUCUAAAAUUCUACAGUUUGACAUGUGCCCCUAAUUUUUAAAAAUAAUAAGCUGAAUGCCCCUUCCAACCUAGUAUAAGAGAGUUUCUUAAACCAACAUAUUUUGAGAAUUAAAAGAAGAAAAAAGAAGCAGAUCACCAGGAGCCUGCAUGGCUUUGCUAAGAUUAUUUGCUUUGGUGGUUGGACCGCGGGAGUGCUAGUGAGGGGCGGUCAGUGCGGUCUGUCUGAAUUUCAAAAGACAUUUGUCAAAGGAUCUCAUGAUGUACUAUAGAAAAUAGAGAAAUUUGGUCUCAAUCAAUGGUUUUCAAAGAUUUGUUUGAACACAAAAGAUUUUUUUUUUUCAAAUAAGAUAUCAUGAGGAAAUACAAUAUGCCAAAAAAAAAAAAAAAAAAAAAAAAAAAAGAGAGAGAGAAAAGAAAAAGAGUUGGCUUGGGGAGUACCCUCUCUUUGCUCCCUUAUCUCCUGCAUCUGCCGGACCUCAUAACACUCUUUGGAGAACAGAUGGAAAGUCACUGGCCUGUAGAACAGCGUGUUUGGUUGGGCUCAUAAUUGGUUGCAUGUCCAUACCCAAACAGUGCUCCUUAUUGCAUUGAUGACAUUCUGGGGUGCAUGCUGCAGUGGAAUGUCACAGAGAUGCAUCCUCUCUUUUUCCCAUUUCCCAUUUUAUGAAUUUCUUGGGUGGAUAAUAUAUCAAUGAUGAUCAAAUUCCUGAAUAUGAAGCAAGGGGAAAUAUUAACAUAUUGGAAGGCAAAGUCAGACUCUACACAGCUCUCAAAAGGUAGAAUGAUAGGAAAUCCAAUAGAAUGGACUUCAGUGGAAGAGAUGGAAAGCCCUGCAUUUGCACUAUUAAAACCAAUCAUCUCCAGUCUGAACUGUGGGGUUUGGUGUGGUACAAAGGAUUAAGCACUUGCUCUGUGUCAGGUGUAGUGGUUUUUCCUUUACUUUUACUUUACAUGGACUGUUAUCUGUAGAUUCCUGACCAUAUGGAUUCUCUUUGUGUGUGUUGGGGGGUACAUCAAAUAUCUCCCAUUUUGCCACCUUUCCCCGCAGCACAGAGACAGUGGAGGCAGCACUCUGACUGCCAUCCAUGUGAUUGGCAGCAAUGUGCUCUGAAAAACCCACGUCUGACUCCCAGCCCUUGCAGAGUUUUCAAUGAGUCAUGAUCCUUGGAUCUUCUUAAGACAGAAUUGACCUAGUUUUUCACCUAUUCAUUACAAAGGGAAAAAUCAAAGGGUCAAGGGUGGGGAGUUCCCUUUGUGGCUCAGUCGGUUAAGAACCUGACAUAGGGUCCAUAAGGAUGCCGGUUCAAUCCCUGGCCUCGCUUGGUGGGUUAAGGAUCCAGCAUUGCUGCAGGCUUUGGCGUAGGUUUCAGAUACUGCUCAGAUCCAGCGUGGCUGUGGCUGUGGUGUAGGUCUGUAGCUGCAGCUUGGGUUCGACCCCUAGCCUGGUCGCUUCCCUGUGCUGCAGGUGCAGCCUUAAAAAGAAAAGAAAAAGGGUCAAGGAUGAUUUGGACCACAGGCUUGGUAUGAGUCCUGUGACAGUGGACUGAUUUUUGACUACUCUGUUCACUUCUAAUCUGGUACUGAGUUGUAAAAUUUGAAAGUGCGUGUCAAUGGCUAAUGCGACUCUUUUAAAAGUAAUAAGCUUUAAAAAUAAUAUUCUUCACAAACUGAUGCUGUGGAGAACAUUAGAUGAUUUCUACUAUUGGCGCCUCAUAACUUCAAUUUUUAACAGGCUAUUUAAUUCUAAUUAAAAUCUUAAAAUUAGCAUAAAUCCUUCCUUCUCUCUCCUUUUCCUGUUCUUCCCGUCCCACCUUCUCAAUCCCUUUCCUCCUUCUUUCCUUUAACACGUAUUAAGUAUUUUCUAUGCCACUGGUCCUUGAGAACAAAAGGAAUAAAGCAUCAUAGGAUGGUCAGUGUUCAGGUGUAAACCCUUGGAUGAAGAAGCGAGUUGGAUGAAAUGACAGAUACACAGGGAGUUUUAGCUUUUGGUUACUACCCCGGCCCCCACUUUUUUGUUUGUUUGUUUUUGCUUUUUAGGGCUGCACCUGCGGCAUAUGGAGGUUCCCAGGCUAAGGGUCCAGUAGGAGCUACAACUGCCGGCCUACGCCACAGCCACAGCUACGAAGGAUCCGAAUCACGUCUGCAACCUACACCACAGCUCACGGCCAUGCCAGAGCCUUAACCCACUGAGCGGGGCCAGGGAUCGAACCCGCAACCUUAUGGUUCCUAGUCGCAUUCGUUUCCACUGCGCCACAACAGGAACUCCUGGUUACUCCCUUGAAAGAGACCAUCUAAUUCAGUGCCUAAGGCUCAAUGAGGUUUCUUCCAAAAUGCAGCAAAUGUAGCAUUUUUUGAGGCAAAAUGUCUAGUUCUUUACUUUAAAACUGUUGAAAUUAUUGCAGAUAAACUCUCUCCAGGGUUAUAUGCCAAUUGCUUUGAGAAGAUGAAAACUUCCAGCUGGUUCCUCCUGCUCUCCGUUCUCUUUAUGGAGUUGCCUGACCUUCAGGCUGCACUUUCUUAUUCCUUUUGUCACCAGGAGGAAAGGGCCGAUGGCAGUAUUAGCUUUGCCGGUUGCUGAGUGGAUGGGAAGUGACGGGGGACGUCUUCUGCUCACACCAGCGCAGUCUUAGCAUUUUGUGGAGGUGGCCGUGGGGAGGGAGCGUCUACCCCUGUCAGCUGACAACUGCUGUUUUUCCAAGUACAGAGAGUGGUAUGGAAAUAAUUUCCUCUGGAGGCCAAGGCACAACAGCUUCUCUGCAAAGCAGCGAACCUGAUCUGGUAAUUUGUAUAUCAUUUUAACAGUCCAGACAGUUUUUUACAGUAUUUCAGGAAGUUAUGUUGCUGCUGAUUUUUAGCCUUCUUCAUCCUCUUUUUCCUUUCCUUUCCUUCCUUUCUUUUGAGAAUUUUUCAAAUUCUGAUGCAAACUGUAUUUGUUUUCCCCUCUAUUUAAAAAUAGCAUUAUUGAGAUAUAAUCCACGUACCAUACAAUUCAUCCAUUUAAAAUAUAUAUCACAGAGUUGUGUAACCAGCACCACAGUCAAUUUUAGGACAUUUUUAUUCCCUCAAAAAUAAACCCCGUUCCCAUUAACACACCUUCCCACCACUUAUCCCCAAUCCCCAUCCACGGCCCUCAGCAGCUGCUAGUCUACUUUCUGUCUCUAUGGAUUUGCCUGUUUUAGAAAUUUAAUAUAAGUGGAAUCAUAUAUCCAUUCUUUUAGAUGAUCUAAUAUGUGCUCUUUUAUGAUGGGCAUCUUUUAUUUAGCAUAAUGUUUUUAAAGUCCGUCCAUCCAUACUGAAGCAUGAAUCAGUACUCCCUUUUUUUAUGGCUGAAUAAUAUGUCCUCGUAUAGACAUACCACAUUUCCAUUCUCUCAUUUUCUUGAGGCAGAAAAGUUUUAGCUCAUCUGUUGGCUUAUAGGUAUUUUAAGGGAAGGAAUCUUGCUUCCCUACUAGGCUUGUGUUUUCCACAACAUAUAGCACCUGCAACAUAGUACAAAUUCAGUAGUGCUGAGUUGAUGCUACCAAAGUAAAUAUGGGAAAAAAAUGAGUUUGGCCUUUGAGUUUUGACAGAGUGAAGGUUAUAAAGGAAAGAUGUGACGGGAACAAUGAGAGAAGUUAUUUGACAUAAUAGAUUGAAUGAGUAUGAAAUCAAAAAGGGGUAAGAUAAAGAAGAGAGGCAAAGCCCCGUAGUGGGACAUAGGAGAAUUUGGAAAGAAAGAGAGUGGAAACGCACAUACAGGCAGUUUGUGUUAAAGCCAAAAUUUUAGAGUAUUCAUUACACCUGAUGUUGAAAUUUUUGGCAGAGACAACUGCCAAAAUUUUGGGAUUUUUUAUGUUUAGUUUAUAGAUAUCAUGAAAUUUUUGAUUAGAAAUAUGAAACUAGUUCAUUCAUGAAUAAUUGAAAUUAUGACUUGUCACCACCUUCAUCACCACCACCACCAUCGCUGUCAUGGCUGUUACCACCAGCACUAUUGUCAUCAUGAAUGUUUGUUGAAAGCAUAUUAAAAUGUAUUGAACAUAGCCAUUUGCUGGGGUUCAGGACAUUGUGCAAAAGCGUUUUGCAUGGGUUAUUAUAUUAGUUUUUCUUAACAAAUUUGAUGAGGUAGGACCUACUAAUAUCCCCAGUUUUAUAUAUGAGAAAAGUGAAAUUGGAAUUUGAACUAGAUUUGACUGACUCUGAUAUCCAUACAUUUUUCUAUAGCAAUUUCUAGCUGCAGCUUCUAAACUUUUAGUCUAAUUUCUGCCUCAGUCCCUUUUGACUUUAUGAUGAUUUCAUAGUUACGGUGGCUUAAAUGGUUGUUAGCAAAUACUCAUACCCUCCCAUCCACCCUGCAAUUUGGCACGUGCUUCCCACUGACUUUAGCCCAAUGGAAUAUUAAGGCACACGAACUCAGCAGAAGCCUUAAAUCUGCUUGCACUCUUCAGUGGGCCUUUCCUGCACCACUGAUCCACCACAUAAAAAGGAUGUUCAGAUAGACACUGCCCUUUCAGUCUAGGGCCCAGAAUGAAUAUGUAUGGAGCAGACCUGAGCCAAAUUGCCUGGCACCAAGUCCAACUGACCCUCAACCUGAAACCCAUUGGAAUCUGCUUUACUAUGCAAAUCUAAGAGCAUGAGAAUCAAUGUUUGACAUGGCAAGCAACUGGGUUGGGGUGGUUUAGUUAUACUGACUCAUUGCAGCAAUAUUGACUACUAAUAGUAGUAUCUAUUUGUUCUUUCAUUCAUUUAGUAAUUAAUUCAACCAAGGCUGCUUUGAUUGUCUACCAUAUGCCAGUCACUGUAGCAGGUAUUGGGCUUAUGAAGAUGGAUCCAGGAUAGUCUUGUCUUGCAUUUGGUGUCCCCUUAGUCAGGAAAGACAACAUGUCCAUACAUUAUUAGAAGACAAGAUAAAAGCUGGUUAGUGCCCUAGCAGAUGGCUGAAUCUAUGCUCUUGGAGUUCUAAGGAGAGGAUAUUACAACUGAUUGGAAGUAUCAGCAAGGCUGAGGGGCUAUGAGAAUGCAAGGUAAUACAUGUAAUAAUCAAACUCUUCUGAACACCAAGAAAUGUAUAUUUUCAUGAGGUUGGCCAUCAUGUUUUUAGCAGAGAUGGCACACUCAUCAAAAAUUUAGAAAUCCAUCAUCAAAAAAUUGAGUAGGGGAGUUUCUGUUGUGGCUCAGCGGUAACUAACCCAACUAGUAUCCGUGAGGAUGUGGGUUCCAUCCCUGGCCUCACUCAGUGGGUUACGGAUCCAGCACUGCCUUGAGCUGUGGAGUAGGUCGCAGAUGCGGCUCAGAUCCCGAGUUGCUGUGGCUGUGGUGUAGGCUGGCAACAGAGCAGCUCCAAUUUGAACCCUAGCCUGGAAACUUUCAUAUGCCACAGAUGCAGCCCUAAAAAGCAAAAAAAAAAAAAAAAAA